GCAUUGGUGGUCUAGUGGUAUGAUGUCACCUUGCCAUGGUGGCGACCCGGGUUCGAUUGCCAAUGCA
This 67-nucleotide transfer RNA is filed under the name Hofstenia miamia. Its description in RNAcentral is "tRNA-Gly for anticodon GCC". It matches the Rfam family "tRNA". Rfam says of the family: Transfer RNA (tRNA) molecules are approximately 80 nucleotides in length. Their secondary structure includes four short double-helical elements and three loops (D, anti-codon, and T loops). Lineage: Eukaryota; Metazoa; Xenacoelomorpha; Acoela; Hofsteniidae. The record is from RNAcentral.